RNAcentral lists this ribosomal RNA (443 nucleotides) under uncultured bacterium. Its description in RNAcentral is "partial 16S ribosomal RNA". It matches the Rfam family "Bacterial small subunit ribosomal RNA", at positions 338 to 795 of the family's 1533-position model. The record is from RNAcentral.
CCUACGGGUGGCAGCAGUGGGGAAUAUUGGACAAUGGGGGGAACCCUGAUCCAGCGACGCCGCGUGAGUGAAGAAGUAUUUCGGUAUGUAAAGCUCUAUCAGCAGGGAAGAAAGAAAUGACGGUACCUGACUAAGAAGCCCCGGCUAACCACGGGCCAGCAGCCGCGGUAGUACGUAGGGGGCAAUCGUUAGCCGGAUUUACUGGGUGUAAAGGGAGCGUAGACGGCGAUGCAAGUCUGAAGUGAAAGGCGGGGGCCCAACCUCCGGACUGCUUUGGAAACUGUAUGGCUGGAGUGCAGGAGAGGUAAGUGGAAUUCAUAGUGUAGCGGUGAAAUGCGUAGAGAUCAGGCGGAACACCAGUGGCGAAGGCGGCUUACUGAACUGUAACUGACGUUGAGGCUCGAAAGCGUGGGGAGCAAACAGGAUUAGAUACCCCGGUAGUC